GGCGUGCUUAACACAUGCAAGUCGAACGGAAAGGCCCUGCUUUUGUGGGGUGCUCGAGUGGCGAACGGGUGAGUAACACGUGAGUAACCUGCCCUUGACUUUGGGAUAACUUCAGGAAACUGGGGCUAAUACCGGAUAGGAGCUCCUGCUGCAUGGUGGGGGUUGGAAAGUUUCGGCGGUUGGGGAUGGACUCGCGGCUUAUCAGCUUGUUGGUGGGGUAGUGGCUUACCAAGGCUUUGACGGGUAGCCGGCCUGAGAGGGUGACCGGCCACAUUGGGACUGAGAUACGGCCCAGACUCCUACGGGAGGCAGCAGUGGGGAAUAUUGCACAAUGGGCGGAAGCCUGAUGCAGCAACGCCGCGUGCGGGAUGACGGCCUUCGGGUUGUAAACCGCUUUCGCCUGUGACGAAGCGUGAGUGACGGUAAUGGGUAAAGAAGCACCGGCUAACUACGUGCCAGCAGCCGCGGUGAUACGUAGGGUGCGAGCGUUGUCCGGAUUUAUUGGGCGUAAAGGGCUCGUAGGUGGUUGAUCGCGUCGGAAGUGUAAUCUUGGGGCUUAACCCUGAGCGUGCUUUCGAUACGGGUUGACUUGAGGAAGGUAGGGGAGAAUGGAAUUCCUGGUGGAGCGGUGGAAUGCGCAGAUAUCAGGAGGAACACCAGUGGCGAAGGCGGUUCUCUGGGCCUUUCCUGACGCUGAGGAGCGAAAGCGUGGGGAGCGAACAGGCUUAGAUACCCUGGUAGUCCACGCUGUAAACGGUGGGUACUAGGUGUGGGGUCCAUUCCACAGGUUCCGUGCCGUAGCUAACGCUUUAAGUACCCCGCCUGGGGAGUACGGCCGCAAGGCUAAAACUCAAAGGAAUUGACGGGGCCCCGCACAAGCGGCGGAGCAUGCGGAUUAAUUCGAUGCAACGCGUAGAACCUUACCUGGGUUUGACAUGGAUCGGGAGUGCUCAGAGAUGGGUGUGCCUCUUUUGGGGUCGGUUCACAGGUGGUGCAUGGCUGUCGUCAGCUCGUGUCGUGAGAUGUUGGGUUAAGUCCCGCAACGAGCGCAACCCUUGUUCACUGUUGCCAGCACGUUAUGGUGGGGACUCAGUGGAGACCGCCGGGGUCAACUCGGAGGAAGGUGGGGAUGACGUCAAGUCAUCAUGCCCCUUAUGUCCAGGGCUUCACGCAUGCUACAAUGGCUGGUACAGAGAGUGGCGAGCCUGUGAGGGUGAGCGAAUCUCGGAAAGCCGGUCUCAGUUCGGAUUGGGGUCUGCAACUCGACCUCAUGAAGUCGGAGUCGCUAGUAAUCGCAGAUCAGCAACGCUGCGGUGAAUACGUUCCCGGGGCUUGUACACACCGCCCGUCAAGUCAUGAAAGUUGGUAACACCCGAAGCCGGUGGCCUAACCGUUGUGGGGGAGCCGUCGAAGGUGGGACUGGUGAUUAGGACUAAGUG
This 1439-nucleotide ribosomal RNA is filed under the name uncultured organism. Its description in RNAcentral is "partial small subunit ribosomal RNA". It matches the Rfam family "Bacterial small subunit ribosomal RNA". The record is from RNAcentral.